RNAcentral lists this ribosomal RNA (116 nucleotides) under Pimelodus blochii (Bloch's catfish). Its description in RNAcentral is "partial 12S ribosomal RNA". The record is from RNAcentral. Lineage: Eukaryota; Metazoa; Chordata; Actinopteri; Siluriformes; Pimelodidae.
CUAUAUACCGCCGUCGUCAGCUUACCCCGUGAAGGCCUAAUAGUAAGCAAAAUUGGUACACCCAAAAACGUCAGGUCGAGGUGUAGCGUAUGAAGUGGAAAGAAAUGGGCUACAUU